Long non-coding RNA from Marmota flaviventris (yellow-bellied marmot), 421 nucleotides. RefSeq lists it as uncharacterized. Lineage: Eukaryota; Metazoa; Chordata; Mammalia; Rodentia; Sciuridae. The record is from RefSeq and is a predicted model, not a curated record.
AUCACCCACAUCCACCUGGACACAAACCCUGAGGAGAGGAAAGCACUGGUCUGGGAGUCAGGACAGCUGCUCCCAACUUGCUGUGUGACUUGAGACUUCAGUCACCUUCUGUCUACAGUGGAUGAACAUACCAUCCAGCCCCCCUACAACUCAGCUAACUGGGCUGAGCCUGGAAGUGCGCCUCUCCUCUGGCUCUGCCUGUGAUCGCACACAGCACCUGGGAUGGGUGUGACUUGCCAAGGUAUCAGUCAAUCUGCUGACCAAGACAUUGCAAAGCAAAACCCCACCUUUGAAAUCUUACCCCUGCCUUAUUUGGUGAGAACAUUCCAUCCAAUCUCCUUUAUGGGUCCCCCUAUAAAAAUAAAGGGAUUCCGGGUGCACGCUGUCUUUCCUAGCCCACCCUCGGGGUCGCAGAGCCCUA